This 639-nucleotide ribosomal RNA is filed under the name uncultured bacterium. RNAcentral's name for it is "bacterial SSU rRNA". It matches the Rfam family "Bacterial small subunit ribosomal RNA", at positions 85 to 722 of the family's 1533-position model. The record is from RNAcentral.
AUAUAUGAGACCGGCGCACGGGUGCGUAACGCGUAUGCAACCUACCUUUCACAGAGGGAUAGCCCAGAGAAAUUUGGAUUAAUACCUCAUAGUAUAACGAUGUGGCAUCACAAUGUUAUUAAAGUUCCAACGGUGAAAGAUGGGCAUGCGUCCCAUUAGCUAGAUGGUAAGGUAACGGCUUACCAUGGCAACGAUGGGUAGGGGUCCUGAGAGGGAGAUCCCCCACACUGGUACUGAGACACGGACCAGACUCCUACGGGAGGCAGCAGUGAGGAAUAUUGGACAAUGGGCGCAAGCCUGAUCCAGCCAUGCCGCGUGCAGGAUGAAGCAUCUAUGGUGUGUAAACUGCUUUUGUACGGGAAGAAACCCCGCCUCGUGAGGCGGAUUGACGGUACCGUAAGAAUAAGGAUCGGCUAACUCCGUGCCAGCAGCCGCGGUAAUACGGAGGAUCCAAGCGUUAUCCGGAAUCAUUGGGUUUAAAGGGUCCGUAGGCGGGCCUGUAAGUCAGUGGUGAAAUCUCCCGGCUCAACCGGGAAAUGGCCAUUGAUACUGCAGGUCUUGAAUUAUUAGGAAGUAACUAGAAUAUGUAGUGUAGCGGUGAAAUGCUUAGAGAUUACAUGGAAUACCAAUUGCGAAGGC